Long non-coding RNA from Polypterus senegalus (gray bichir), 2369 nucleotides. RefSeq lists it as uncharacterized. NCBI's taxonomy places the organism in Eukaryota, Metazoa, Chordata, Cladistia, Polypteriformes, Polypteridae. The record is from RefSeq and is a predicted model, not a curated record. The transcript is spliced from 2 exons.
UCACCAGAGAUGCGGGCUACUUUUUCGUGGGCCACCCUGUAUAACAGCUUAAUAUUUUAGAGCUUAUACAUCAUUUUAUGAACAUAUCAUUUUCGGAGGAAAAGGAAGAAGUGCUUCAGCAGAUCGAGUAAAUUUCCUGCACCUGCAAACAAGAUGGGAUGGGGUGACAAACUCUGAGCCGCCCACGUCUUACUAUGCAAACUCUGAUAACUGUACAUGGGCAGGUCUGAAAUACUACUUUCCCCGUGUAUGUGCACACCCCUCUUAGCUCUGCACAAUUAGGAGCCCACAAUUGCCUAAAACGAGUAAGCAAACAGCGCCAGGGUAUAAAACAGCCCUCACAAUCUGCAUUGUUGUGCCCCACAUGCUAUUAGCUGUUACUUUUAUUUAUUGAACUGUGUGCCUCCUUUGUCUUGUCAUUUAUUAACACACCAGUUAGUCACGUCCUGCACGCUCAGCGAUAUUAUAAAUGCCCAUGAAGCUCAUGUAAUGCAUGCAGGUUCCAUGACAAAAAAACAAAAAAAGAAAUAAUGCAGAGCACCCCUUGUGUCUCACCUAGGCACCCCCUUUAUGUCUAGUUUUGGUCACUUCCAAAAUGUGUCUUUAAGUUAUAUAACCCCCUGGAUCUGGUUAGUUGUGAAUAUGUCUACGCACAUCUCUUAUCAAGAUCCAAUCAUCUAACCCAGGAAAUCACUCACCUUACAAGUGUCUUAUAUCUUAAAGCUUUGUUUAAAUGUGUACUGUCUGCUGUGUACUUCUUUGUAAAUCAUUACUUUUUAUUGUCUUUGGUUGCAGAUCUGUAAAUACCUGUAUGUUUCCUUUGUAUAUGUUUCAGUUUACAAUGAGGUAUGUCCAGUAAAAUCCUUCAAGAAAGCUCACACUUGUCACUUUGUGUGGAAGUGCCACGUUGUUUAAGCUCUCUAUGCCCGAGCAAGUGGGCAGAAAAUAUGUUGUUAGAUUUAAUUUUAAGACCUGGGUCAUCCUCAUUUGCAUGGAGAUGGUUUUGCUUUGAAAAGACCUAUGUUGCUCAAAUGAUGGCAAUCUGCACACCAUGCUGGAAAUCGGUUGCUGUUAAAGACAGUUCAUCAACUAACUUCUUUCACCAUCUGCAAACUAAACACCACACAGAAUAUAAAGAAUACAAGAAGCUUCAGGGGUCAGCUGUUAAGGCACAAGCACAAAAACAUACUCAACGGUCUUUAGCGGAAUCAUUCUGCAAAAAGUGCCAUAUGACAAUUAAAGCAACAGAUGACAUGACAUAACAAACGCCGUCACCAAUUACAUUGCAAAACAUAUGGUGCUAAUUCAAGUGGUUGAGAGGGAUGGUUUCAAAUAACUUUUGCAUACUAUAGACCCAAUAUAUACACACUACCUGGCCGAAAAUAGUUUAGUCAAAAAGCUCUACCUAAGCUGUAUGAUUCAUGUCACCAAAUUCUGAUGCAUAAACUGCAGAAGGUUUCACAUUUUGCCACAACAACGGAUUUAUGGUCAAGCCAAACAACAGAGCUAUAUCUCUUCUUGACAGUGCCUUUCAUCUGUGAAAACUGGCAACUGCAAAAGCUACUGAUUGCAAACAUCCUACUUCCUAGAAGCGCACACAGGUGACAUCUUCGCGCAAGGUCUGAAAGAUGCAUUGGCAUCAUGUUCACUGUAAGAAAACCACAUGGUUUGCAUGACAACAGACAACGGGGCUAACAUUGUCAAUGCACUAUGGAUUAACAACUGGAAAAGGCUUCCUUGUUUUGGACACAGGCUUCAUAUUGCCAUUGACAUGCGGGAUACGAGAAUAGACACAGCCAUUGGAAUUUGCAAAAUGGUGGUGGGAGGUUUUUCCAAUAGCUGGAAAAGAAUAAGGCACUUCCUGAUGUACAAGAGCAGCUGAAACUUCCAGAGCAUAGUCUCAUCACCUAGUCACCAACAAGAUGGGACUCCAGACAGGGCAUGAUAGAGAGAUUUAUUGAACAAGAACAUGCCAUUCGUCAUGUGUUGACUGCAGACAAAAAGCACAGGUAUCUUGUCCCAACAUGGUAAGAUGCUCAGGUGCUGGAUGCAGUAAGUAAAGCACUUGGCCCUCUUCUGGACUUCACAGAUGCCCUUUCAAAUGUGCAACUAGUAAUAGUUUCAUACUUAAAACCUGUGUUUGCCUUGUGCGUCACUGAAGUCCUGGUGGUGAAGUCUGAAGACACAGACCUAACCAAAAAGAUCAAACAAAUCAUUCUAGAGUAUCUGGACAUGAAGUAAACAGAAGACUGUGGGAAAGAGCUGUUGAGUUUGGGAUCUACACUUGACCAAUGGUUCAAAAACUGCUACAAUAAUGAUGACAGGCUCAAACCCAUUACAACAGCAGUUAUGACAAAACUCAUGGCUAU